Long non-coding RNA from Argentina anserina (silverweed cinquefoil), 984 nucleotides. RefSeq lists it as uncharacterized. The transcript is spliced from 4 exons. Lineage: Eukaryota; Viridiplantae; Streptophyta; Magnoliopsida; Rosales; Rosaceae. The record is from RefSeq and is a predicted model, not a curated record.
UUAUUAACAAACUCGUAUACAUAAAUUUCAAUCGUAGAAAAUCUGGUUGUAUCUGAAGAACUAAGUUCGUUUUAGCUAUAAUUAUUAUUAACUCUUGAUGUGUGACUGUGUAAACAAAAUAGGAAGCAGCAACAAGAGGGCCGGCCCACUGGGCUUCUGGAUUCAGCCGGAAACCAAGAAAUGCUCGGCGGGCAAUCAUGGCGGUCAACGAUGUUGAGGCCGAAGAGGAUUUGAAUUAUGAGGGCUCUGACCUUUAUUACUAAUUCAUCCUCCAAGUCUGCACUUCUUCGCCGGAACUGUGGGGAUAAAACGGACAAUUCGCGCUAUCUUCGAGAAAGUGUAGAGCAAAUAAGUGCCGCUUUAUUUUGUAGAGAAUUCCCUCCCUCUUUUUACCAAUUGCCUUUUGAUUUCCUCAUAAUUACACUUGUCUUCCACCACUCCUCUGAGUUUAGUCUUAAAUUGCAGACAUCUCAGAUCAACACAAGUUCAAAGGCGGAGGAGGUGGAGCAGAAACUGGGAAUUCUCUUCAUACAGUUUGUAAGGCUGGAACUGCUGCAAUCCUAAGAAAAAUGGAAUUCAGAAGAGAAUGAACUCGAUCAUCAUCUGAACCAUGUAAAACUGCUAUAUAAGAGGUGGAACGAAAAGGCUGGCUAUAGACUUUGGAGGAGGGCUCGUUUGCAAAGUGGUGUUUGUGAAUUAUUGCUUGGGUUGGGAAAAGGGGAAUCCUCUCCAAGCGUUUUUAGCAAGAAGCUCCUCUCCUGAAAGAUCCAACAACAGCAUAAAUGGUGUACUAGGUGAACCCUAUUCAGAAACCAAACGAUCAGAUGUUGAUGGCCAAACUCAGAACAAAGAUGUUGUUUACAUUGUAGACGUUCUGAAUCAACACAGUAAACGGAGCUCUUAGCUGCUGAUUCGUCUUUCCACAGUGCCCAUGUCGUCUGUCACCAUAGUUGCAAUUUUCUGAGAGAUUAGUGAUAUGGCUCC